GAUGAACGCUAGCGGAAGGCUUAAUACAUGCAAGUCGAACGAGAACGGAAUAUAGCUUGCUAUAUUUGUCAGCUAAGUGGCGCACGGGUGAGUAAUGUAUAGAUAACCUGCCCUUAAGAAAGGAAUAACAGUUGGAAACGACUGCUAAUGCCCUAUAUGCCUUUAAUACAUAAGUAUGCAAGGGAAACGCUUUAGUGCUUAAGGAUGGGUCUGUAUGGUAUCAGCUUGUUGGUGAGGUAAUGGCUCACCAAGGCUAUGACGCCUAACUGGUUUGAGAGGAUGAUCAGUCACACUGGAACUGAGACACGGUCUAGACUCCUACGGGAGGCAGCAGUGGGGAAUAUUGCACAAUGGACGAAAGUCUGAUGCAGCAACGCCGCGUGGAGGAUGACACAUUUCGGUGCGUAAACUCCUUUUAUAUAGGAAGAUAAUGACGGUACUAUAUGAAUAAGCACCGGCUAACUCCGUGCCAGCAGCCGCGGUAA
Molecule: ribosomal RNA, 485 nt
Filed under: uncultured bacterium
Lineage: Bacteria
Description: bacterial SSU rRNA
Rfam family: Bacterial small subunit ribosomal RNA
Source: RNAcentral